RNAcentral lists this ribosomal RNA (387 nucleotides) under Triticum aestivum (bread wheat). RNAcentral describes it as "partial small subunit ribosomal RNA". Lineage: Eukaryota; Viridiplantae; Streptophyta; Magnoliopsida; Poales; Poaceae. The record is from RNAcentral.
AUGCCUGAAGAGAAGCCAGAUAACACAUAUUGGACGAUUCACUUUGAUGGGUCCAUGCAAUUGGAAGGCUCGGGGUCUGGAGUUGUCUUAGCUUCCCCUCGAGGUGACAAGUUUUGUUGUGUUCUAAGGUUGAUGUUUCCUUGUACUAACAAUGCAGCUGAGUAUGAAGCCUUGCUCCAUGGUCUUCGGAUGGCUAAGGAGAUGAACUUAAGCCGGGUGAGGUGUUUUGGCGAUUCAGACUUGGCUGCUCAGCAAGUUUCAGGCGGGAUUCUAAAGACCCGCUCAUGGCGGCUUACCGCCGUGAGGUUGAUGCUAUUGCUGGGCACCUCAAGGGUUAUCAGGUGGAACACAUUGAUCGCAGGAAGAAUGAGGCAGCUGAUUCUUUGA